GACGAACGCUGGCGGCGUGCCUAAUACAUGCAAGUAGAACGCUGAAGGAGGAGCUUGCUUCUCUGGAUGAGUUGCGAACGGGUGAGUAACGCGUAGGUAACCUGCCUGGUAGCGGGGGAUAACUAUUGGAAACGAUAGCUAAUACCGCAUAACAGUAGAUAUCGCAUGAUAUCUACUUGAAAGGUGCAAUUGCAUCACUACCAGAUGGACCUGCGUUGUAUUAGCUAGUUGGUGAGGUAACGGCUCACCAAGGCGACGAUACAUAGCCGACCUGAGAGGGGGAUCGGCCACACUGGGAAUGGGACACGGCCCAGACUCCUACGGGAGGCAGCAGUAGGGAAUCUUCGGCAAUGGACGGAAGUCUGACCGAGCAACGCCGCGUGAGUGAAGAAGGGUUUCGGAUCGUAAAGCUCUGUUGUAAGAGAAGAACGAGUGUGAGAGUGGAAAGUUCACACUGUGACGGUAUCUUACCAGAAAGGGACGGCUAACUACGUG
This 495-nucleotide ribosomal RNA is filed under the name uncultured bacterium. RNAcentral's name for it is "partial 16S ribosomal RNA". It matches the Rfam family "Bacterial small subunit ribosomal RNA", at positions 28 to 507 of the family's 1533-position model. The record is from RNAcentral.